Molecule: ribosomal RNA, 465 nt
Filed under: Vreelandella stevensii
Lineage: Bacteria; Pseudomonadati; Pseudomonadota; Gammaproteobacteria; Oceanospirillales; Halomonadaceae
Description: partial 16S ribosomal RNA
Rfam family: Bacterial small subunit ribosomal RNA
Source: RNAcentral
CCUACGGGUGGCAGCAGUGGGGAAUAUUGGACAAUGGGCGAAAGCCUGAUCCAGCCAUGCCGCGUGUGUGAAGAAGGCCUUCGGGUUGUAAAGCACUUUCAGUGGGGAAGAAAGCCUUGGGGCUAAUACCCUCGAGGAAGGACAUCACCCACAGAAGAAGCACCGGCUAACUCCGUGCCAGCAGCCGCGGUAAUACGGAGGGUGCGAGCGUUAAUCGGAAUUACUGGGCGUAAAGCGCGCGUAGGCGGUCUGAUAAGCCGGUUGUGAAAGCCCCGGGCUCAACCUGGGAACGGCAUCCGGAACUGUCAGGCUAGAGUGCAGGAGGGGAAGGUAGAAUUCCCGGUGUAGCGGUGAAAUGCGUAGAGAUCGGGAGGAAUACCAGUGGCGAAGGCGGCCUUCUGGACUGACACUGACGCUGAGGUGCGAAAGCGUGGGUAGCAAACAGGAUUAGAUACCCGGGUAGUC